UCUAAACCACUAACAAUAAUAUUAUUAUAAUAUGCAAAAACAGAAAAACAAAAGAAGCUUUUCGUUUGGUUUCAGAAAAGCAAAAGGGACUGUAAUCAGUAAAUCUAACAAAAAGAAAAAGAAAGCUUCAAGAAAGCAUGGAAUCUGAAACCCAGUUACCAGCUCUCGCCAGUAGAUGCAUAAGAUAUGAUGCAGCAGUAGCAAACGGAGACGACAGAAGCAGUUGCCGAAGACAGUUCUGAUGUUCGAGUGAGGAAAAACAGGCUAUGUAACUAGGAGGUGGAGGAGCUAUGGGUUUGGUGGAGAGUAUAUGGAUGCAGGUGGCUAUCCAUGGUGGUUUGAGAUUGCUCUUUAAGCAGUCUAUAUAGCUGAGUAAUCUAAGCUAUGAAGCAGGUGGUGGAAGGUCUAGGCUUAGGUUCCUAUCAUGAUCAUUUUCUCUAUAAAUAGUUGCACUUCGAAUAGGAAAUUUCAUAGUAAGUAUUCGUUCACUUAAUAGAGAGAAUUUGAGUGAGAACCCUGAAGAAGAAAGAAACAGGUUUAAGUUUGCAGAGGAAGGCUUAAGGGUAAGAUCUUUCUAACUUUUGGGUGUCUUGAGUAAUUCUUUCCAAUUUGAUUUA
Non-coding RNA from Malus domestica (apple), 617 nucleotides. NCBI's taxonomy places the organism in Eukaryota, Viridiplantae, Streptophyta, Magnoliopsida, Rosales, Rosaceae. The record is from RefSeq and is a predicted model, not a curated record.